UUAAGUCCCGCAACGAGCGCAACCCUUGUCAUUAGUUGCCAUCAUUUAGUUGGGGCACUCUAAUGAGACUGCCGGUGACAAACCGGAGGAAAGGUGGGGAUGACGUCAAGUCCUCAUGGCCCUUAUGGGUAGGGCUUCACACGUCAUACAAUGGUCGGUACAGAGGGUUGCCAAGCCGCGAGGUGGAGCCAAUCCCAGAAAGCCGCUCUCAGUUCGGAUUGCAGGCUGCAACUCGCCUGCAUGAAGCCGGAAUCGCUAGUAAUCGCGGAUCAGCAUGCCGCGGUGAAUACGUUCCCGGGCCUU
Molecule: ribosomal RNA, 303 nt
Filed under: uncultured Rhodocyclaceae bacterium
Lineage: Bacteria; Pseudomonadati; Pseudomonadota; Betaproteobacteria; Rhodocyclales; Rhodocyclaceae
Description: bacterial SSU rRNA
Rfam family: Bacterial small subunit ribosomal RNA
Source: RNAcentral